UACGUAGGGUGCAAGCGUUAAUCGGAAUUACUGGGCGUAAAGCGUGCGCAGGCGGUUAUAUAAGACAGUUGUGAAAUCCCCGGGCUCAACCUGGGAAUUGCGAUGGAGACUGCAAGGCUAGAGUCUGGCAGAGGGGGGUAGAAUUCCACGUGUAGCAGUGAAAUGCGUAGAGAUGUGGAGGAACACCGAUGGCGAAGGCAGCCCCCUGGGUCAAGAUUGACGCUCAUGCACGAAAGCGUGGGGAGCAAACAGG
Molecule: ribosomal RNA, 253 nt
Filed under: uncultured bacterium
Lineage: Bacteria
Description: partial 16S ribosomal RNA
Rfam family: Bacterial small subunit ribosomal RNA
Source: RNAcentral